This 244-nucleotide ribosomal RNA is filed under the name uncultured Actinomycetales bacterium. RNAcentral describes it as "partial 16S ribosomal RNA". It matches the Rfam family "Bacterial small subunit ribosomal RNA", at positions 88 to 334 of the family's 1533-position model. The record is from RNAcentral. Lineage: Bacteria; Bacillati; Actinomycetota; Actinomycetes; Actinomycetales.
UACUCGAGUGGCGAACGGGUGAGUAACACGUGGGUGAUCUGCCCUGCACUUCGGGAUAAGCUUGGGAAACUGGGUCUAAUACCGGAUAGGAGCCAUCUUUAGUGUGGUGGUUGGUAAAGUUUUUUCGGUGUAGGAUGAGCUCGCGGCCUAUCAGCUUGUUGGUGGGGUAAUGGCCUACCAAGGCGGCGACGGGUAGCCGGCCUGAGAGGGUGUACGGCCGCAUUGGGACUGAGAUACGGCCCAG